GGAAAACAGAUUCAGUACAAAGCUCCCUCCUUUUUUCCCCUAGAGCCACACAAAAACUCGGAAGUGAGGGUGGGAUGUAGCAGCACGUGACCAAAUCAACCAACACGCCAAAGUGCAGCCUGUGGUUCCACACCAAUGAAAGAAGGGCAGGGUUUUUCCCUGGCAUCUGGCGCCGGGCACCCGGCAGCCUCACACUGUGGCAUGCGAGGGACUGCGAGACUGCACUUCUGGGGUGUGCGGCAGGGGACGGAGGGCACAGCGCACAGCGCGGCACUCGGUGUGCAGGAUGGCAAAAAAAAAGAAAAGAUGACUUUAUAGGAGAAAUAAUGGUGAUAAUCUAGGAACCAUUUCGAGAUCAUUGGAAAAUUGAGAACAUAGGUGCAUCUGUUCAAGAGGCAAGCACUGAAAGACACAGCCUGAUGAUUUUUUAGUAAGUAUGGAAAUGGAUCCAUAUGGGGUUAGAUGAAGAAAGGGAACGCUGAG
This 483-nucleotide long non-coding RNA is filed under the name Ursus maritimus (polar bear). RNAcentral's name for it is "lncRNA (ENSUMAG00000008672.1)". The record is from RNAcentral. Lineage: Eukaryota; Metazoa; Chordata; Mammalia; Carnivora; Ursidae.